RNAcentral lists this ribosomal RNA (440 nucleotides) under uncultured bacterium. RNAcentral's name for it is "partial 16S ribosomal RNA". It matches the Rfam family "Bacterial small subunit ribosomal RNA", at positions 338 to 795 of the family's 1533-position model. The record is from RNAcentral.
CCUACGGGUGGCAGCAGUGGGGAAUAUUGCACAAUGGGGGAAACCCUGAUGCAGCAACGCCGCAUGAGUGAAGAAGUAUUUCGGUAUGUAAAGCUCUAUUAGCAGGGAAGAAAAUGACGGUACCUGAGUAAGAAGCCCCUGCCAACUACGUGCCAGCAGCCGCGGUAAUACGUAGGGGGCAAGCGGUAUCCGGAUUUACUGGGUGUAACGGGAGCGUAGGCGGGGAUACAAGGCUGAAGUGAAAGCCCGGGGCUCAACCCCGGGACUGCUUGGGAAACUGUGUUGCUGGAGUGCUGGAGAGGCAAGCGGAAUUCGUAGUGUAGCGGUGAAAUGCGUAGAUAUUAGGAAGAACACCAGUGGCGAAGGCGGCUUGCUGGACAGUAACUGACGUUGAGGCUCGAAAGCGUGGGGAGCAAACAGGAUUAGAUACCCUUGUAGUC